AUACGUAGGGUGCAAGCGUUAAUCGGAAUUACUGGGCGUAAAGCGUGCGCAGGCGGUUUUGUAAGACAGAGGGGAAAUCCCCGGGCUCAACCUGGGAACUGACUUUGUGACUGCAAGGCUAGAGUACGGCAGAGGGGGCUGGAAUUCAGCGUGUUGCAGUGAAAUGCGUAGACAUGCGGAGGAACACAGAUGGGGAAGGCAAGCCCCUGGGCCUGUGCUGACGCUCAUGCACGAAAGCGUGGGGAGCAAACAGGAGUAGAUACCCUGGUAGUCCACGCCCUAAACGAUGUCAACUGGUUGUUGGGUCUUCAUUGACUCAGUAACGAAGCUAACGCGUGAAGUUGACCGCCUGGGGAGUACGGCCGCAAGGUUGAAACUCAAAUGAAUUGACGGGG
Molecule: ribosomal RNA, 395 nt
Filed under: uncultured bacterium
Lineage: Bacteria
Description: partial 16S ribosomal RNA
Rfam family: Bacterial small subunit ribosomal RNA
Source: RNAcentral